AUGCUGUCGAUUAUUGACCACAGGAAGCACCUGAAGGACAACGUUAAAGACAGUCAAACUUCCUCUGAGGAGAUGGACAGAAACGAGGAACUGGACAAAUUGUUUCAGAGGUUACGCGUAUUUAAACACUACAGAGCAGACAGACUGAGCAGCUGUGAUGAAAGGCAAAGAUUGACAAAGCUGGCAAUGAGAAGCUGCACAGAUGAAGUCGUCCUGCAGUGGCUGAGAAAAAACUCAGAGUCUGACGCCUUCAGCAAACUCACAGACAUGUUUGACUUCCUGAAGAAACACAUUGAUGAGGAGGAGAAGAAGAACCACAGUGAUUAUGUUCACAUCAGCUUUGUGGCUCAUGGAGCAAUCAGAGACUUCAUGAUCCCAGCCAGCUGUUACCUGCCUCUGCCCACCAUCACUGACGUGCUCCUGUAUUCUCCCUGGAACUGCAUCAGUGCUGGUUUAGCGUACGGUAUCGUUACAGGAAAACUGAGGCCUCAGCACAGAGUUUUUUACUGCAACGAUAAAGAAAGCUGUACCAUUCCUGAUGACAAACAUCGACCUGUGAACCUGCCAGAUCACUGGAACUCACUGAAGAAAUCUGGAGCACAGAUGGUCCCAAACAUCACCGUUAGCCCCCUUUCACCAGAUGGUGAUGGAGUGUGGAAACGCUUUGAGUCUCUCUCAGCUAAACACGGACCAUCAGGAAGGAACCGGAUCGUCAUACCGUUCAUCCUCCCAGGACGGGAAUAUGAAAGCAUCCCAUUCUCUGUGGUGACCUUAGCUCUGUCCCUGGUGCUCCUCUCCUCCAGGUUUAAAGCCACUCUUCACUUCGAUGGUUGUCUCGGUGAUCACUCUACUGGACCGAAAUUUGACAGGAAGUAUCUUCAGGAGCAGUACGCCUGCACCAUCGACAACAGCAAGAUGAAAUGUUCACCUGAAGCUUUCAGAUGAUGAUAAAUGCUCCCUGUUUUAGACAUGUUUGUGGACAUUUUAGUGUAAAGAUGAAGAUGAAAUGAUAAAAGUAAUUUUUCUAUACUUGAGGCUCAGAUUUAUGAUGAAUGGACUUGAAUCAUCAUUUAGACAUGUUCCAGCUCAUAAUCUGAUCAUAACCUGCUAACAUCUGUGGAGGUUAUUAAUAUAAACAGACUCACCUGUUCUCUGCUCGCUGCUCACAGGUGACGUGAUGCUGAUGUCAGACCUUCAACCAGCACACACACAGAUCAUUGACAUGAAGUAUAUAGAUUAUUUAUGUACAUUAUGUAUUAUGUAAUAUUUUGAUCUGUUAUUGCUUUAUGUCGGGGUUUUAGAUCCGUACUUGGGUAGAACAAUAAGUUAUGAGCCACAACUUUAACUCAGUCUCUGAACUGUGUCACGUUCCAAACAUAGAAGUAACACAAGUCUACGAGUUGUACAUCUAUAUUUUCAUGCCUACAGACUCGGUAACUAUUUCUAAUCUUUUCUUAUUGUAAAAGCAUUAAAAUGUGAAGAUGAUGUUGUGAAGUGAAGAAGAACAGGAUGAAAACCUGAAGCUGCUCAUUAAAAACAAUAUUGUAUAUAUGAAAUUUAUGGAGGACCACAAGAGCCACGCGCAUCGAAAUAAAGAAUUCUAUGAUUAAAUAAUCAAUUGUAGAAUAAAUUUAGCAUUUGUAAAUUUAUUUUUGAAUUCCAUGUUAAAAAACUGGUUUUUAAAAUGUUUUUUAAAAUGGUGAUUUAAAAGAGCUCUCUGACUGGUAGGACAGACACAGGCUGCCUGGAUUUUUCCUCACUUCUUGUUUGUGCUCAUAGCUUUGCCCUGCUUAGAAGUGUGUGUGCUUGUACAAAGGCCGCUCAGCCUCAGGAUUUAAACUCUGCUCAACACGGAUAUGUGAAGAAUGAAGAACAAAGAGACCCUGCAGCAAAACAGAGAGCUGAACCUGUUUAUUGUUUCAGGUAUAGACGAUGGAGUAUGACCAGUCUGAUGUCAGCCUGCUUCUCUGACAGCGCCUCACCUCUCUGUGCUGCCCCCUGCUGGCUCUCAUCAUUACUGACUGAGUCACUUUCUGACACUUUAUUAGGUACAGCUUGCUAACACAGGCUCAGACCUGCUUUGACUUCAGAGCCGCCUUAAACCUUCAUGGCUCAGAUUCAGCGAGGUGCUGGAAACAUUCCUCAGAGUCAUGUGAUC
RNAcentral lists this long non-coding RNA (2158 nucleotides) under Oreochromis niloticus (Nile tilapia). RNAcentral describes it as "lncRNA (ENSONIG00000027622.1)". The record is from RNAcentral. Lineage: Eukaryota; Metazoa; Chordata; Actinopteri; Cichliformes; Cichlidae.